This is a long non-coding RNA of Engraulis encrasicolus (European anchovy), 1111 nucleotides long. RefSeq lists it as uncharacterized. The record is from RefSeq and is a predicted model, not a curated record. NCBI's taxonomy places the organism in Eukaryota, Metazoa, Chordata, Actinopteri, Clupeiformes, Engraulidae. The transcript is spliced from 2 exons.
GGCGAAGGGGUAGGGGUCUCCAGUACCUCGUUGACUGGGAGGGAUAUGGUCCGGAGGAGAGGACCUGGAUCCCGGCCAGGAGGAUAGUGGACCGGACCCUCAUCACUGACUUCCACCGACUACAUCCUGAUCAGCCUGCAAUCCGUAGGGGCCGUCCCAGAGGGGUCCCUAGCCGUCCUGCCCGACCAGCUUCCUGUCCUGUGCCUGACCCUGCUCCUGUCUCAGUACCUGUCCUGUCUCCCGACCGUGACCCUCCGGCUCCUUCUGAGGAUGAGGAUGUUCACUCUGACCGCUCGGAGGAGUUCUGACCCGCCGCCUGCUCCCCUCCACCCUCCCGGCAUGGUGUUGUUCUUGGGACUUCUGGGGCCGUCCCUUAGGGGGGGGGUCCUGUCAUGAGCACUCUCUCCCCUGGGUAACAACCUUAAUUGCAUUCAAUUCUCUGCCACUCUGCUCACUCUCUCCCUACUCUGCCUAACGAGCUCCACCUGGCUCCGCCCUGCUCUGCUCUUGCUACCUGGCCAGCUGCGCUGCAUUUCCCACUCACCUUCCUCACCUUUCCCCACUCUGCUCUAAUUACUCUGCCAGCUGCACUGCAUUUCUCCACUAACCUCUCCCAGUAUAUAUAGCCCUGUUUUUCAGCCAAGCCCUGUCAGAUCGUCUUCAUACCUGGACCAGUAACCUGCCUGUCUGUCUACCCUCUGACUCCUACCUGUGAUUCCGAUCCGUUCUCGACUGCCUCCCUGUUCUACUGCCCCGGCUAUCCCGACCUGCCUUCUGGAUCUCGACUACUCUCCAAUCUUCAGCCCCUCCGGCCUCCGACCACCAGACGAGCGAGCCCAGACGCUUCACCACCCUCAGCCCGAUACGCCGCUCGAUCACUGGGGGACACACACACUAGGCACUUUGAACUGGAAACCCCCGGACACUUGGUGACCCCCGGAGCCCAGGUAACCCACAGGACCCUGAAAGACCCCUGAGCCCCAAGCACCCCUGGAACCCCUGACACCCCUGGCACUCCUAGCACCCCUGGAACCGGCACCUCCGAAGACCUCAAGAUCCACUCACUCCUCUUCCCCCCCUGAACCCUUAAAUAAACAACUCUGAAUUUGAA